GGUGAACGCUGGCGGUAGGCCUAACACAUGCAAGUCGAACGGCAGCACAGUAAGAGCUUGCUCUUACGGGUGGCGAGUGGCGGACGGGUGAGGAAUACAUCGGAAUCUACUUUUUCGUGGGGGAUAACGUAGGGAAACUUACGCUAAUACCGCAUACGACCUACGGGUGAAAGCAGGGGAUCUUCGGACCUUGCGCGAUUGAAUGAGCCGAUGUCGGAUUAGCUAGUUGGGGGGGUAAAGGCCCACCAAGGCGACGAUACGUAGCUGGUCUGAGAGGAUGGUAGGCGACACUGGAACUGAGCCACGGUCCAUACUCCUACGGGACGCCGCAGUGGGGAAUAGGGGACAACGGGGGCAAGUCUGAUCCAGCCAGACCGCGUGGGUGACGGAGGCCUUGGGGUUGUAAAGCCCUUUUGUUGGGAAAGAAAAGCAGCAGGCUAAUACGCCGCUGUUCUGACGGUACCCAAAGAAUAAGCACCGGCUAACUACGUG
RNAcentral lists this ribosomal RNA (492 nucleotides) under uncultured bacterium. RNAcentral describes it as "partial 16S ribosomal RNA". It matches the Rfam family "Bacterial small subunit ribosomal RNA", at positions 28 to 507 of the family's 1533-position model. The record is from RNAcentral.